Molecule: long non-coding RNA, 19830 nt
Filed under: Vitis vinifera (wine grape)
Lineage: Eukaryota; Viridiplantae; Streptophyta; Magnoliopsida; Vitales; Vitaceae
Description: long non-coding RNA (VVIN_LNC001662)
Source: RNAcentral
GACAUGUGGUAGGAGCUCCCUAUCAUGACGAGAAGGAGCUCCAAGUACCUUAUUUUUGGGGCGGGGAACCAUGGGUGGAUAGUGAAGGAUUUGGAGUUUUGGACAUGGAGCUUGAUGUGAUUAAAGAGGUGCCACAACCCAAUGAGAAAGAACCCUAGCCCUGGAAAAAAGUGCCCUAUCAUAGAACUCGCCAUGUGAGCUAGAAAGAACUACCAAAGUGCCCUAAAACUCAGUUUUUAUGCUUUGAGGAAGACGUGAGAGGCUUGUUUGAGAUGGGGUUUUGAAGGGGUUUGGUCUUUGAUAUGGGAUUAGGGAGUUCUAUACUUCUAUUUCAAUUUGCAGUGCUCAUUAGGGUUUGAAGAAGAAAAGAGAGGCUUGUUUGAGAUGAGCUUUUGAAGGGGGUUUGAGGGGUUUUGGACGGGGUUGAUGAGGAGUUCUAUUUCAAUUUGCAGAGCUCAUUAGCGUCCUGCAUUGUAGGUGUGCCUUGGGAAGUAGGGGUAUUUAUACUUGAACAGUGAACAUGGCUGCCUUUUCUCUUUGAGGUAAAGAAUAUACAGUAGAAUGGUAGGGCAAUCCUAUUGGAUUUGAUUCAACUAAAUACUAAUUUUCAUGUACCCAUUUUGUUUAUGGAGAGAAAUAAUUUGUUUGGUAGAAAAGAAUUAGCAACACAUUAAAGAAAAUUUAGAAAAUGGGUUUUUAAAGGAAGAAAAUAGUUUUAAUUAUUGGCCCAUCAUUUGGUUUGUGGAGAGAAAAAUAAUUUGUUUCAUAGAGAAGAAUUACCAACACAUUAAAGAAAAUUUGGAAAAUGGGUUUUUAAAGGAAGAAAAUGGUUUUUAACUAUUAGUCCAUCAUUCUCGAUAUAAUUAUUAUGACCUAAAAAAUCGAUGAAUCCCUAAUUUGUAUUAAUCUUAGUCUCAUACAUGGACAAAUGAUGAAAUCCUAGAUUGUAUUAGUCUAAGUAUUACUUAAAAUAUAGUACAUUAAUAACAUAAUAAUUUUUUCAAAAGCAGGUAUCUUAAAUGUUUUAUAUAUCCUAACAACGUGGGCAAAAAUAGUUUGUAACUCAAUUAUCAAAUAGAGCAUUCUCAUCAUGAUCUUCAUCACUCACGCAUCAUCACGGUUUCAAUUUUUUUUUUUUUAAUACUGGAUUGAGCCUCAAUAUGUCAUGUAACAGUAGUCAUUUAUUCCAUUUUCAGAGCACAAGUGGCUUAGAAUAUCCACCAAUUUGGGGUUUAAGGCAAGGGGGCACCGCAUUUGGGUGUUGCUUUUCAUUAUAAGAAACGUUAGCAUAAGAAAGCUAGGUACGUACCCUUGGAAAUUGAUUGAUAACGUGUAGCCUUGGUGCAUUAUAAUCAAUUCAAAAGUUCAAUUAACAAUUUAGAAUUUUAGGGUAUCUGGUGGUAUGGUUUCAAGAAUUUAUUUCACACUCUGAACUUGAUUGAAACUCUCAUGCACGGUAAAUUAAUUUACAUGAUUUUAAAGUUAUGAUCUCAAAACAAGAGAACAAAGAAACUUGAAUCAAUAAAAAUAAUUGAAUAAUUACAUAGAUCGCGACAUGAUUUCAAGAAACUAAUACAUAACUUUCCAAAUAUUGCUUAUUGUUUCAACACACAUUGGAACACAAGUGAAAUCACCCAAAUUAGCUCAAAGCAAUUCAUGCAACCCAAACAACCUCACAUCAAUUUCCCUCAAAUCAAAUUCAUUUUCCCUCUAUUCCUUGUUUCCACUAAGCCAACAUUAAUCAUUGCUGGCCUAAUAAUUCAACAAAGAAUAAUGGAAUUCCCACCAAAUUAAUUAUUAACAAUUUAUAUAUAUAUAUAUAUAUAUAUAUAUAUAUAUAGAUAUAUCUUCCUUAGUUAUCUUGCUCUUCUCCUACAACCCAAGAUCAUCAUCGUCAUCAUGAUGUUCCACUCCUUUCUCUUCUUUCUUCUCCCAUGACAAGUUCUUGACCUUUUUUCCAUAAGCGUCAACCAAAAACAAGUAAAAGGACACUGAAAAUAUCAUGAUAGCAAUAAGAUACCAGCUGAACUCUAUGUUUAUCAGCGCUUUAGCACGAUGGAGCGACUCAUCAUCAUGGCAGCGAGCCUCCUGGUGACCACCCUCAUCCCAUAAAAGAGAGCACCCUUUAGGGAUAAAGCCUGGAGUCCAAAGCAUAACCCCUGUGGCCAUCAGCCAAACCCCAAGGAAAAGUAUACAAAGAGACCUAGAAAAACCAAGUAUAAAGCUCUUGGGAAAGCCUAUUGCCAUGAGACUAGUUGCCAUGGAGACAAGCGUGAGCAUCUGCAGAAACAAAUGGUAUUGUCCUUCCAGGCCGGCGUGGUCGGUGGAGUGAAGGCGAAACAUGAGUAACUGCUGGCCGAGGGCUACGGCAGCAAGGAGCUGAGUCAGGCCAUACUUAGCCUUAGCGGCAACAAAAUCAAGGACAAUGGAAAAAGAGGUGUAAACGAUGAAGGUUAUGGCGAUGGAGGCGUGCUCAAAGUUACGUAGAUAGGGAGAUGGGAUGGUGCCAUCCGGAUCAAAGCGAUGGUGCCGGAAGAGCUCAGUGAACACGUAGUAGGAGCUCCCUAUCAUGAUGAGAAGGAGCUCCAAGUACCUUAUUUUUGAGGCGGGGAACCAUGGGUGGAUAGUGAAGGAUUUGGGGUUUUGGACAUGGAGCUUGAUGUGAUUAAAGAGGUGCCACAACCCAAUGAGAAAGAACCCUAGUCCUGGAAAAAAGUGCCCUAUCAUAGACCUCGCCAUGUGAGCUAGAAAGAACUACCAAAGUGUCCCUAAAACUCAGUUUUUGUGCUUUGAGGAAGAAGAGAGGCUCGUUUGAGAUGGGGUUUUGAGGGGGUUUGAGGGGUUUUAGAUAUGGGGUAAGGGAGUUCUAUACUUUCAAUUUGCAGAGCUCAUUAGCGUUUGAGGAAGAAGAGAGAGGCUUGUUUGAGAUGGGCUUUUGAAGGGGUUUGAGGGCGUUUUAGAUGGGGUUGAUGAGGAGUUCUAUUUCAAUUUGCAGAGCUCGUUAGGGUCUGCCCGCAGGUAGUGUGCCUUGGGGAGUACGUGUAUUUAUACUUGACCAGUGAACAAGGCAGCCCUUCUCAAUGAGGUAAAAAACAUAUAGUAGAAUGGUAGGGCCAAUCCUUUUGGAUUUGGUUCAGCUAAAUACUAAUUUUCAUGUACCCAUAUGUUUAUGGAGAGAAAAAUAACUUGUUUGGUAGAGAAGAAUUAGCAACACAUUAAAGAAAAUUUGGAAAAUGGGUUUUUUUAAAGGAAGAAAAUAGUUUUAAUUAUUGGCCCAUCAUUUUGUUUAUGGAGAGAAAAAAUAACCAAAUUUUAGAUAUUGAAGGCUAGCUAGAAACAUAUUAAAGAAAUUUAUUUUAUUUUAUUUUAUAAAAAAUAUUAAUUUUAUGAAAUAGAUUAUUCUAAAGAUAUAAGUACAUUGAUAGUAGAAAAUAAAUUUUUUAAUCCAAUCUUGAUUCAAUAUGAAAUGUUUUUGUAUCAAAUCUUACCAAAGAAACAUACUUCAAAAGUGCAUUAAAUUCAACAGUUAUACUAAUAAAUAAAGAUUAUAGCAUGUGAAGAUGUAAAUAUACCAAAUUGUUCAUCUCGGCCUCUCAUCGAUUUAGAUUGCGUUUGACAAUGCUUUUGGAAAGUGUUUUUAGUUUUUUUAAUACUUAAAAUUUUUUAUUUUUCAAGUAUUAAAAAAACUAAAAACACUUCUUAAAAUUACUAUCAAACGCACUCUUAAUAUUGUCAUUACAAGUUCUAUUAAAGAUGAGAAUUAUGAACUUAUGUUUUGGGUCUAAUUUUAUCUCCUUGGUCUUUUUUUUCAAGUAUAAUUUGAAGUUUGAUUGAGCUAUUAUUAGUUACUUUGGAUUCCUUUUUCAAGUAUAGCUUAAUAAUGACCUAUUUCAUGGUUAUUUUUAAUGUACUUAAAGACUUAUUAAAUGAUAGUUGGUGUCAAACUAUUUGCCUUUUAGUGGAUUGCAGGGGUUUUUUUGAAAUGAUAAUCUUCUCUUAAUGGGUUUGAUUCUUGUCAUGUUUAGAUUUAGUAAGAGGGGUUUGAUUAUAAUAUCUAAAGGUACUUUCAAUACAUACGGAGAAGACAUCAUCAAUAAGAUAUACCUCAUAUACAAUUUUUGGUUUUAUUGUUUUAUUGUUAAGGAUGAUAAUGAAUGAGUUUUUUUAGGCAUUUGUCUUGAUCUACCUCUAAUGAGAUGAGUUUGAAAUUUAAAUAAACGGAUUAGGGAUGAGUUUGAGAUUUAAAAAAAAAAAAUCCUAAAUGGGUUCAAGCAUUGCCUUAUUCCGUCCCAUCGCACCCAUAUUAUAUAUAAAAUUAAUUUUUAUAUAAAGAUGAUUUGAUAUAAAGCUUGUGAUACAAUAUUUAUAUUGAAAUCGAAUGUAAUAUUCAAUUAAAUUUUCUUGAGAUUGAAAUAUGAAUUUUUUUUAUUCCUUUAAAAUUUGUAUAGAAUAAAAUGAAAUAUAAUAGUAAUACAAACAAUAGUACCUUUUUACUAAAACUCUUUUUAAAUUUUGUACACAUGCAAACAUGCUUAUUGAGACAUGAAAAAUAAAAAUAAAAAUGAGGCUUAGGUACAAAAUAAGAUUUUAUUUUCUCCUUCAUAUUAUAAUGUACAAUGAAAUAUGUGAACUAUAAUGCAAAUAUAUAAUUAUGUUUUUUUUUCUUUUUUAUUUUUUAUUUUUAUAACAUUUAUGUACUAAUAGUGCAUUUGAGAAUGUUUUUACUUGAAAUUUUUUUUCUAAAAGUGUUUUUAGGAGAAUUUUUUAUCAAGUGUUUUUCCAAAAAAUACUACAAAUGACUUUUUUUUUUUUUUAAUAUUAUAAGUAAUUUUUCAGAUUUUUAAAAGUAUUUUUUAAAAUUUAUUAAACACUUAUUUUUUUUCUUAUAUAUAUAAAAAGGUGAUGCAUGAAAGCUUUCUUGUAGCAUCACCAUUGAUAUUUUUGUUAUUUUAUUUUCGAAACAUUAUUAUUAAAAAGAAAGGAAUUAAAAUUAUUUUCAAAUAAUUGUGAGAUUUUUUAUUUGGAUGUAUUUUGUUUUCUUCUUCAAAUUAUAUUACAAUAAAAAACUCUGAAUUAUAUUUGAGUGACAAACAAUUCAACCACAAUUAUUUCUUGGCAUUUUCUUCUUUAUUCCUCUAACGUUCAUUUAAUAUAAUAUCACACUUCAAGUUGAUUCGAUAUGAGACUUCUCAUAUAAGAUUUAGAUGUAAAUUAUUCAUACAAAAAUCAGUGAAAUUUAAAUUAAAUAUCAAUAUAAAUAUAUAUAUAUUAAAAAUGAAAUUUCUUUUAUUUUUAAAACAUUAUCCUUGUGUAGUUAUCUUUUCUUCUUCAAGCAUCCUCCAUGCAUGUGGGGUUACUAUUAGAUAUGAUUUUGUUUUCUCCUUCCAAGUUCUCGCAAUUAAUAAAUACUAUUGGAUACAAUACAAAUAUACAACUCGAAAAUGAUUAUUUCUUGUCAUUUUCUUCUAUAUUUCUAUGUCCUUGAUUUAACACAACACCUAUUCAAAUUGAUUUAAAAUUGAGGCUUAUGAUAUAAGAUUUGAAUUUAAAAUCCAACAAAUAUUUGUCAAACAUCAUAUAAACAAUAAACCAUUGGAUCCAACAAACAUAUUAUUAGUAUAUACAUUAAAAAAAUACAUAAUAGAUGUUGGAAAUAACUUUGAACUUAAUUCAAGUACUUUUUGGUUGACAAAUAAGCUUAGGAGUAGAAGAUUUUACCUUGCGCUAUGUUUAGUUCUCAAAAAGUACUAAGAAAAGAAAAAAAUAAUGUUAAGGAAAAUGAUUUUCUUAUAUUUAAUUUCAUGAGGGAAGAUAGAAAAGAAAUCAAAUAUAAUUAAAACUUAAUUAGAAAUUUAUAUAUUUUAAAAUUAUUUAAUAUUUGAAAAAAAUAUGAAAUGAGUUUAAAGUAGUAUGUAAUAAUAAUUGAUUAAUUUUGAAUAUAUUUUUAUUUUAUUUUAUUUUUUAUUUUUUCUAUUUUCUUUCCCUCACAUUUUCUCUCAAAAUUUUCAAGAACCAAAUAUUGCGUUAGAAUUUGUUGAGAAGAAGAAAAAUGGGAGAAGAAAUGAAAAGGUGUAGUGUGGAAUAGAAGAAUGAUCAGAAUCAUAUCCCACAGACAACAAUAAUAUUGAAGUUUGUUGGGAAGAAGAAAAAUGAGAGAAAAAGAUAAUUGUAUUUUGUUCCUCAAUUUGUAGCAACCAAAUAGAUAGGUAAAGAUAAUUGAACUUCCUUUUAUUUGACUAUCUUUCUUGCCGACUAAAUAAAAACCUAAUAAGCAGAUACGCAGGAAAAACAUUAGAGUUUUGCCAUGGCAGACUAUACAUGGCUCAAGCUAGGCUUCUUCUUCUCAGGUUAUUAAGACAAAUCUUCAUUUUUCAUCGAGCUACGUUUUAAUUCCAAAAAUAUUUGAGGGAAAAUGCAAGGAAAAAAAUAAAGAGAAAGAAUGGAGGAAAAUAAAAAUAUAUCUAAAGUUAUUUAAUUAUUUUUAUAUGUAAUUUCAAAAUUAUUUCAUUUAUUUGAACUCUUUUAUAUAAAAAUUAAAUAAUUUGAAAAUAUAUAAAUUUUAAAGUAAUUUUAAUUAUAUUUGAUUUUUUUGUUUAUCAUAAUGAAAUCAAGAAUAAAAACUUCUUUAAUAUUUUUUUCUUCCUUUGAUACUUUCUUGGAAUAAAAUAUAGCAUUAGGCUCCUCCUAUCAAUAUAACCAUGAGAGAUUGGAGCUUUAGUUCGGCGAAACACUAGAGAGAACGACGUCCAUUCCUUGAUUAAAAAAAAGAAGUGCUUAAGACCUUGGUAUUAUACCAAUUAUUAUCAUAAAAGUAAAAGACAAUAAGUAACUUUUAUGCAAUUGACCUUUUGAGACAAUUGAAACUCAAAUAGUCAUCUUUCAUGCUUCAAAAUGUAUUUCCUUUAUUUGGAAAAAAUACAACCAAAUAUUACGAAUAGUCUUCUUCCUUGGGUUUUCAUAAUUUUUGGGCAACUAAAUUAUGGAUACUUCCUCCUUAGUCUUCUUGUGGAUGUGCCGAUAGAGGACACGUUACUAUGAGCUAACGAUUGAGGUUGUAUCUUAGAUCGAUUAUUAUUCAUUAACAUGACACGUAGAGAGGUAAUAACAACUUUAGGACAAUGUGUUACCACUUGCCUCAUCAAGCUAAGUCAAUUUUUCUUUAACUUUGAUUUGAAUUAUUAUAUUAUAGAUUUAAGGAAGAACUUAAAGAAAAAAAAAAUAGAAAGAAUGUAAAAGAAUACUUAAUUUUUCUUAACAAUCUAAAACUACUAUUCCUUCGAGGGAAAAAGGUAUUUUUUAAUGAUAUAAUUUGACAUCUUUAUUUUUUUAUUUACAAAAGAUCUUUGACAUCUUUAUUACUUUAUUUGCAAAGACAAAUAACUUUGAAAAUUCUCAAACUUUAUUUUUUUUAUUGUGAGUACUUAGAAAGCUAAUUUAUUCUAUUAGUAUUAUUUAAAAAAAAACUUGUAAGGGAACACAUGUUUUGAUACAAUAAAAAAUAAAUAAAUAAAUAAUUUUGAAACUUGAAAGUAUAAGAUUCAGGUUCUAUAGUAAAGUUAUAUAUAUAUUUAUAUCAGCUGACUUCCUCAAGCACCUCAUUUGUGCCUAGGAAGUUCUUUGAGAGGAUCUAAGAACAUAAAAUUAGAUUGAAUCCAUAGAAAUGCGUAUUUGAAGUGACAAUCAAUAAGCUACUUGGGUUUAUGGUUAGUCGGAGAUAAUGCUAUCCUACGACAUGAAUUUCACGAUAGGCACAAUCCUUAAAAAGUUUUUCGCAAUCGAAUACCAUCAUACCUCUUUAAGGAACAAACUAACUACUUUGUGAAAAGUUUUCUCUAGUUGAAUACUAUUAUGCCCAUUUCACGAACAAAUCAUUUGCUAUAUCUAUACGUCAUUUGCUGAAAAAAUUUUAUUUAUUGGCUUUAUUUUAAGAAAUUUUAUUUGUUGGAUUUUUAUAUUUAAAUAUUUACUGCUUCAUUUGGAUUAUUCUUUGCUUAUAUUUGUUGUUACAUUUUGAUUAUUAUAAUAGUUAAUUUAGUGUUGGCAUAUAAUUUAAUUAUUGUUUCAUAGAAAACAUUUUAUUGCUAAAAUUACUUGAGUAAGUUACUGAAAAAGAUUAUAUUGGAAAGUAUUUUACUCUUAAAUUAUUUGAGUAAGUUGUUAGAGUUAUCUUAUUCAAAUAUUAUUUGUUGGAUUAUUUAUUGAGAUAGGUUUCUUUAUAGUUGGAAUUUAUUUUAUAAAGUUGAUAGAAUUUCCUUUGAAAUUGUGACCGUAACUUAUUAUUUAAAAGAAAAAAACUUUGAAUCAAUUGAUUUAUUAUUAACAUAAAUGUCUUUAUACUUGAAGACUAUUUUUACCCUUGUUAAUAAUAAUAAUAAUAAUAAUAAUAAUAAUAAUAAUAAAUCUCAUUUUGUUAUAAUGACUACCUUUGAAGUUGAAAAAAGUCAGUGGGUUCCACUUUUGAAGAUGACAAAAACAAAUGAAAUAUCGAUUAACUGUAUUAGGGUUUAUUUCCACUCUAGAAGAAAAGAAUGACACCAACCAAAAUGAAGAAUCCUCAUCCUCCUUAGCACUAGAACAAAUAAAUCAUCAUUGUCAUAAUCAGAUUUUUAGUCCACAUUACUGUAGGGACCUCUCUCCUUGAUGACACGUGGCACGCAUUUCUAUCCGGAUUUCCCCAAGAGGACAUGUGGCGCGCUUCCCCUAUCCGGACUCCCUCAGGGAGAGGCACACGACACUCGCAAACAUCGCAUCCGAACGACCGUCAUAUCACAUCCGGACGACCGACAUAUCCUAUCCGGAUAUGUUUGUCUGGAUCGUUGACUAAAGUAAGCAAAUCUUACUACGUCAUUCCGACAGCUUGCCACAGCCCACGUUCUGCCACCUGCAGAGCGAAAGGACAGGAAUGAUGGCAAGUCACCUCCCACGAUCUCUGACAGCCGCCCAUAGGGUGAUGAUGGCCCUGCCACCACCUAGAGGCAUCAUGACAAGCCAAAAAGUCUCCCUACCAUUAAAGAGGGAGACAGAGCUUCUGAUACUAUAUAUAUGGACCUUCACACAAGGAGGAAAGUAAGCUUGCUAUACCUAGUAAAAGGCCAACUGCUUUAUCUCUCUAACCAUGGCUGACAAAACCAUCGGAGGGUGUGUCCAGACACCUUGUCCGGACACCUUUUGCAGGGACGACUGAACUAGAAUUCUAUCUUGGUUGAAAGCGUGCGUCCAUUUGGCAGCUAUGUGGAUCAUUGGGACGCAAGGCCUCAACAACUACCACUAGUGCUAAAGAUCUUUGGAAUGCCUUCGAAACCCAAUAUGCAUGGUGGAGUUGAUGUGGGUAUAGAACAAUAUUUUAUAGUUUCUGAUUUCAAUAAGUUCAUCAUGGUAGAUGGAAAACCUAUAAGUAAUCAAAUUCAUGAGUUUCAAGAGCUUCUAAGAGGGGUAGAAAGAAAAAGACACAAUUUUAAUUUAAUGAAGACUUUAAAGUAUCUUGCCUUAUAGAUAAACUUCCUCUUUCAAGGUCCAACUUUGCUCAAUCUCUUAGACAUAAGAAAUGAGAAUUAACAUUGAUCCAAGUAAUUAAUUGAAGAAAAUCAUAGGUAAAAUGUUAAGCAAGAAAAUGAAAUAAAGUCAAAGGUAAAUCUAGUGGAGAUGUCAAAUAAAUCAAACUUUAAAAAUUAAUUUCGUUCUAGGGGAAAGAAUUUAAAAAUAAAUAAUAGAUAAAAUAAUAAUCAUCAAAAUCCUUACCAAAAUAAUCAAUCCCGUCAUCACUAACCAAACCACCAACCCAAUUAUGUAAAGGACAAAAGUAAUGGAAAGAAAGCUUGCUUUGUGUGCCACUAUUAUAAAAGGAAUAGGGAAUACAAGCCCAACAACAACAACAAACAAGGUUCAAGAGCUCAAAUUAAUAUGUUGAUGGAUGGUGAGAACUCAAGUGAAUAUUCUAUUAGUUAUAAUCUUGAUUAGCCCUUGAUUAAUUUUACCUAUUAUAAUAAAGAUUAGUAGUUAGAUUUUGGAGCUAAUGUCCAUAUAUGUCUUGAUCAUGCAUGUUUUAAAUUAUAUUGAACUCAAGUGGAGAAAGUGUGACUUUAAGAAAUGACUUCAUCACAUAUGUGCUAAGAAUAGCACAAGUAGACUUGAAGAUGACAUUUGGGAAGGUCCUAACUCUUAAAAAAGUGUAACAUGUUACAAGAGUGAGAAGAAAUCUAAUUAGUAUUCAUUCUUAGUCCAACAAGGUUGUAAAGUUGUAUUGGAGUCCAAUAAAGUAGUAAUUACCUACAAUAAUGUAUUCAUUGGACACAAUUAUGUAUGCCCUCUAUUUAAGUUGAAUGUACACUUAUUGGAUGAAAGUAAUAAAAUUCUUUUUUAUGUUUUCGAUAUUGAAUUUAGCAAUAAUUAGCAUGGUGGAUUGGAACAUGUGAGCCUAGGAAAGUUAAAAAGAUUGAUGGAUCUCAACUUAAUUCCUACGGCAAAUAUGGAUUUUAAACAUAAAUAUGAAAUAUGUAUACAAGCAAAACAACUAAAGAAACCUUAUAACCUAUAGUGAGAAAUACUAAACUAUUAGAAUUAAUGCAUGGUGAUUUAUGUGACGCAAAUCAACCUUCUAUUAGAGUUGAGAAUAAAUACUUGCUAACCUUCAUUAUUGAUCACUCCAAGUAUUGCUAUGUAUACCUUAUCAAAACUAAGGAUGGAGUAUUUGAAAAGUUGAAGUAAUAUAAGAGUGAAGUUGAAAAUCAGUUAGAAAGAAAAAUUAAAGUACUUGGAUCAACUAGAAGAAGUGUAUAUACUAGAACCAACUUAACAACAUUUUGUGAGAAACAUGGAAUAAUAUAUGAAGUCAUGCCAUCUUACUCACCUCAAUCAAAUGGUGUAGUUGAAAGAAAGAACUGCACUUUAAUGGAUAUAGUAAAUGUUAUACUUUUGAAUUCAUGUGCCCUUAAAACUUGGAGAAACAAUAUUAUCAUGUUACCUAUUAAUUAAAUAGAGGCACUAUUAAAGAUAAUGAAAAAGCUACUUUUGAAUUAUGGAAAAAUAGAAUUCUUAAAUAGAUAUAUUAAAAUUGUGGGGGUGUUUAUAAAAAAUAACUAUACCUAAACCUUAAAGGAAAAAAAAUAAGACCUAAAACUAUAGACAUUAUCUUCAUAGGAUAUGCUCAUAACCAUAAUGCAAAUUAGUUCCUAUUUGUAAAAUCUAAAGUUAAUGAGAUUUAUAAUAAUACAAUAAUUGAAGCUAAAGAUGCCACAUACUUUGAAGAUAUAUUUCCCUUUAGAACUAAAGUUUCUAAUCAAGUCAAUGAUAAACCAUCCAAUUCAAAGCAUAUUUUCAAUGACAUGACUCGCUUAAAUUUGGAUGUGGAACCUCAUGUUGAACCUAGAAGAAGUAAAAGAGGAAAAAUAAUAGAAAAAACUUCGAAGAUGACUUUUAUACUUGAUUAGUGAAAGGAUAAGUUAACCUAUCAAGAGGCUAUGACUUCUAUAAAUGCACCUUUUUUACUACUUUGAUACUUCUUCUCUGAUCUCUAGGAUUACAACUAUUAGAAUUUUGAUAGUCUUAGCAUCAAUCCAUAAUUUAGUAAUACAUCAAAUGGAUGUUAAAACCUUUUUUCUGAAUGGUGACUUAGUGAAAAAAAUAUACAUAGAACAACCUAAAGGUUUUAAGAUAAAAGGAUAAGAGCAUAAGGUAUGUACAUUAGUGAAAUGAUCAUUAUAUGGUCUUAAAUAAGCUCUAAAACAGUGGCAUGAAAAGUUUGAUAAAGUCGUUUUAGAUUAUGGGUUUAAAAUUAGUGAUCAUGAUAAAUGUGAAUAUAAAAUAGACUUAAAAGAAUGCAUCAUACUUUGUCUUUAUAUGGAUGAUAUUCUAAUUUUUGAAAAUAAUAUGGAAAUAGUGAAUGACAUGAAAGAUUAUUUGUCUACGAACUUUGAGAUGAAGGAUUUAGAAGAUGCACAUAUAAUAUUGUGAAUGAGACUUUCAAGAACAAGUGAAGGAAUAACUUUAGAUCAAUCAAAUGCCAUUGAAAAAUAUUAAAGAAGUUUAAUUACUUUGAUAGUAAAUUAGUAUCCACACCUUAUGAUUCCAAUAUGCAUUUGAAUAAUGUUGGAGAACCAAAAUAAUAAUUAAAGUACCCUCAAACACUAAGGUCUCUAUUGCGUAUUAUAAAUAAAAUUAGACCUGGUAUAGCAUAUGUAGUUGGGAGACUAAGUAGGUAUAUUCAUAAUCUUUGUUAAGGAAUGUUGGAUUCCUUUAGAAAAAGUCUUUAAGUAUCUCAAAGGAACUUUGACUUAUUCUUUAUGUUACAAAGGAUUCUCUAAUAUAGUGGAAGGAUAUAAUGAUGCAAAUUGGAUAAUUGAUAAUCUCGAUGCAAAAUCCACUAGAGGAUAUGUUUUUUAGAAGGUGCAACUAUUUCUUGGGGAUCUAAGAAACAAACUAUGAUAUCAAGAAAUACAAUGAAAUCUAAGUUAAUUGCACUAGAUACAACAUGCAUUGAGGUUGAAUGGAUUAAAGACUUACUAUUGGAUAUCCCUUUAUUAAGUACCUACAUGUAAUAUUUGUGCUUUGUGAUAGUAAAGCUAUAAUAGAUUUGGUGAAUCCAUCCCAUACAAAUAAGAAGAUGAAUAAACACAUAUAAAUGAGAUACAAAUUAAUAUGAAACCUUCCAAGUAAAAAUGUGAUAUCAUUGGAUUUUGUAAGAUAUAAAAAAAAUGUUGUUGAUGAGUUGACCAAGGGUUUUUCUAAGAAUGUUGUCCUAGAAUCAUCAAGAGGGAUAGAGCUUAAGUCCUUAAGAAAGUCACCUUUAAUUGGAGGUAAUCCAACCUUUGUGAUUGAAGAUCCCAUGAAGAAGGUUCAAUGGGUAGAAACAAUUCACACUGCAUGACUUAAUAACACUAUUUUUUAGGAAAUUUUUUUUCUCAUUUCUACGGUGAUAGUGCUUUUGAUGUGAUAUUACAUAGGGUAUUUCCUUGAAUGAGCCUGAGCUAGCUAGGAAAUUCUGCAAGGUAUAGGUCACAUGUACCCUUGAAAGACUUACCUAAAUAAGAAUCUUCUUGAGGCCACGACUAUAAGAGUAAGGUUUCCCUAGUAACUCUCAUGAGAAUCAAGAUACUAAUGCAUAGUCAUUAAUAGUACUAACUCGCUUGGAACCAAGUCCUAUACCAAUACAUGUAUGUGACAUAUUAAAGUUUGGCUCAGGGACUUAGACCUAAUUCAAAACAUAGUUUACUAUGGAUUCUCAUAUGGAAAUUGUCAACACUAAGUGUAGGUUCAAGUUUGGAAAACACCUAUACCUAUUACAUAGUAUAAAGUUGUCUAUUAUAAUUUCUCUAUUUAUUUAUUUAUUCAUGUUUAUUAUUAUUUUGAAGUUUUAAACCUUAUGAGGGAAUGUCAUAUUUUAUUUAAAAAUAUAAAGUUUUAAAACUUCUUUUUACAAAAAUAAAUAAAUAAAUAAAGGUUAAGAUUUGGUAUUAUAUCUUUUAUUGUUAUAAAGGUAAAAGACAAUGAAUGACUUUUAUUUUUCCAACCAUUGGAUUGAAUUUUAUAAGAUUUGAUUGGUUUUUAUGAUAUUUUAUGCAAUUGACCAUUUUAAAAUAAUUGAGACCCAAAUGAUCAUUUUCUCAUUCUUUAAAAUUCUUUAUUUGGGAAAAUACAACAAAAUAUUACAAAUCAUCUUCUUCCUUGAGUUUUCACAUUUCUUGGAUGGCUAGAUUAUGAAUAGGUUCUCUCCGUAGUCUUCUUGUCGAUAUGUCAUAGAAGGGACAUUGUUGUGAGCCAACAAUUAAGAUUGUAUUUUGGAGCAACUAUUUUUUGUUAAUAUUGCAUGUAGGUAGGUGAUAGCAGUUUUAGGGUAAUAUGCUACCACGUGCCUCACCAAGCCAUCUCUUCUUUAACUUUGUUUCAAUUGUUAUAUUAUAGUUUUCUAUUUUCAUGUUUUAGUGUUAAGAAAAAAAAAUAGAGAGAACACAGAAGAAUACUCAAUUUUCCUUAACACUUUUUAUGGUCAAAAUGAAACAUUUUUUUUGUUUUUUUGUCUCUCAAUCUUUACGCACUAGGCUUAGCUUUUUAAUUGUUAGGGGUCUGUUUGACACGGUAAUUAGCUUCUGAUGAAGUGUUUUUUUUUACGAAAAUUGGUACAACGAAGUGGUUAUCCCCCUUCAUAUGCUUGAAUUAUAGAACUAAUUAUUUAAAGAGAAACAAAGUACUCAAAUGACUUCAUAAAAUGAACUUUUUUUAUCAUUAACUUGGGAAAAAAAAAAACCUUUUGCAGCAAGUGCUUAUGGCAAUUCAUUCCCUAUCAAAUUUUUAAGAAAUCAAAUAAAAAAUUAAAAACCCUAAAAUUAGACUAUUAAGAAUAGUUGCAAAUUGGAAAGUCAUCAUGUUAGCUCAAGGUUUCUCCCAAUUGAGUUUUGAUGAUAAGAAAACAAGGUUAAUUGUAUUAAUAACUCAAUUAGGUUAAUUGUUUUAGGUUUUCAAAAAUUUAAAAUAAUUCAAGUUCAUUCAAUGAAUGAUCAUGGUUAAUGAAGAGUACUAGAUACUAUUGAAGACCCUUAAAACCAAUGUAAGAUUGUUCUUGUUGGUGCACUUCAAUCAAAUAAAAAAUUUCAUGUACUUGAAGGUUUCAAAAUCACCCUUUUAUGCUUUUAAAUUGAAUAUAUUUUAGUAAAAUUGGAUGGUUUCAUGUUAUCCUAUAAACCCUAACUUAAAUUCUUUCAAAUAUAGGGUUUAUGAAAUGGUUUGAAAACCUUCCUAAGGGUUUAUGAUAUCGAUAGGUUCUCAUUUCUACUAAAUUACAUCAACAAGUCAAGGUAAUGGGGAAUCGAUUGAGUUGUAGGAAUAAAAGCUUGUUGUAACUAUUUCAAGCAUGAGCCUCCACUAAUCGAGGACUAGUUGAGCAUAGAUUGUUCAACCGGUUGAGCAACCUAUUCCAAAUGAUCACCUAUUAUAGCAUUAAAUUCCCAAUGAUUGUUCAACUAAUCAAAUCAAUUGUUCAAUUUAUAGAACCAAAGUUGUGGAUUUUAAAGUUCUCAGGCUAUCCGUCUUUAUAGUGAUGGUUUUAAGAGCAUUUUAUGCAUGAAAAAUCGUAAGUUUUCAAUUACUUCCCUACCUACAAUCUUUUUUACGGUUCUUAAGUGUAACCUUUCUUUCACUUGCAAAUUCUAUAGCACACCAUAAAAUCAAUCCUAGUUUUUAUUGUAUUGUGAGCUUGAUUUGUUUCAUUAGAAUUGAGUGUUCUUCUUUCAUUCUUACUAGCUUCCAAAUUAGUGAUAUUUAUUGUUCAAAUGAGAUUGAUCAUUUGAGGUGACUUAUGAAGGUCGAUUAAAACCUUGGAAUUCAAUUGUAGACAUUAAAGACUUGAGAUUUUAUUGAUAAUAUCCCUUAAAAAUAAAUAUUGCUCAAUAUUUUUAUUUUUAAAAAUUUCUAUAAUAUAGUUGCUAACUAAUUUGGUAUUCAUGUAAUGAUUAUUCAAUCUAUUAAAAGACAUCAAAAGAUUUUUUUUCUCUUAAUAUUUGAAUAGUGAAGAGGUUGUACAUGAAACCAAUUAUAUUGGUACUUAACAACAAAAUGGUUGUCUUGAUACUUCACAAUAAAAUGAUGUGAUCAAAAGGAAAAUUAUAAAUGUAAUAGAUUUCUCCAUAUUAUUUAACUAUAUAAUGUAUUGUGAAUGCCACUCUCAAGUCAUUUAGAAUAAGACCCAUCAUUUUUAUGUGAGGCCAAAUGCUAUAUUUUAAUUGGAAUCACCAAAUAAUUGAAGUUAGAACCAUUUUAAAAGCAUUUUUAAUUAUAAUUUGCAUAAAAGUUUAACUAAUAAAAAAAAUAAAGGAAAGGAAUAAUUUUUAAAUAAAAAGUAAUUAUGUAAAUACUUAAUUAAUAUUUAAUUAUAUAUAUAUUAGACUAUUUAAACUUCACCAUUUCUAAUUUCUUGUUUAAAUUAUUAGUGAGAUGAAAAUCACUAUCACUUAGCAUCAUCCUUUCACUAAUGUGAAACUUCUUGGAUGUUGCCUUUGACUUAACGCUCAAGCCUCUCCAUGAAAUUCCUUCCUUAGGUCAAUUAUAAGAUUCCAUGUAGUGAUGUUACAUAUCAAUAUGAGUAACUCACCAUCCUUCCAUCAAGUCCUAAUCUCAAAACCAACGCCAUGUUAGUGGGGCCAAAGUCUAGGAAGUGCCCAAAUUUGAUCUUAAUUAACCCCUAAAGAAUUUGCACAGACUGUUACAACUCCAAAACAAAACAUCUUUGCAUCUUCCUAGAAGGAGCAAAGCACUUGAUGGAAAAGGGAUAUACUCUUUUUUUAUAUGAUAUGUCUAAGUUUUUCACUACAUGACAUGUAUUUUUUAAUGUUUUACAAUUAUUAUCUUUUAAAAUUAUUAAUUGAAUAGUGAAAUUGGUUACAUUAUUAGCAAAGUAUCUAGAUUCACAUUUAGGGUUGUGGUUGCUUCAAGAGUAAUUCUAAUAAAAAAAAACUUUUAACUUGUAGUGCUCUUAUUAAUACUACUUUGUCAGAAAUAUUUUUAUAGAGAAUCAGUCAAUAUUUAAAUAUAAGUAAAAAAAAAUUGAUAAUAUUUUUACAAUAUGUUACAUAAUAAAAAAAAUAUAAGUAAAAAAAAAAUUGAUAAUAUUUUUUACAAUAUGUUACAUAAUAAAAAAAAAAAGUAACUUUUAGAAGAUAUAUAUAUAUAUAGUACGAGUCUCAAAAUCAUUUCAAGUAAUUCUUCUAUUCUUAAAAGAUAUUUAAAUAUGAUUUUUAAAACUUUGUCAAACUUCGAAUUUUUUUUAUUAAAAAAAAUACUUUCAAAUAUUGAAAAACAUUUUUCAAUAUCCAAGAAUACCUUUAAUUUAAAUAGGAUUUUAAUACUUUGAAAGUCUUUUUGAAGACAUAAUAAAAAUGUCUCUUUUAAUAAGUUAAUAGACUUAAAUAAGAUUAAGAAAGAUAUUCAAAAGCUUCUUGUCAUGUUUUUAUUGGGAAAAGACUAAUCAAAAGGGACCACAACUCAACCAGUAUUAAGUAAAUGCUUUAAAGCAAUUGUCUAUCAUUGUUAUUUGAUCCAAAAUACCAUGUAAAUAUAAUAUUUUUAAAAUUUAAAACAAAAGCCAAUUACUUCCAAAAUCGAACUCAAAAGGUCAUCAAAAUUUUACAAUUUCUUUCCUAACAUUGUUAUCUUUUUGCUUAUUAUCUUCUAUAACACCACCAAAAUGAAUGCUUUAGCUUAAAGGAAUAUAUCAUCAAUAACACUAUAUGACACUAUUUAUGGUAAAGACAACUAAUAUUGUGACUUGUCCUAAGUGUUGAUAUGAAAUCAUUUCAUAUAAAAGAAAAACAUAAUGGAAUAUGAAAGAAAUUAAAUUUGUCAUAUAAGGAUAGGCUGAUAUGUAUUAAGCCUAAAAAUUAUAGCUUUCAUAGAAAGUUAGAUGAGAACAAUUAAUACUUAUAAGCAAUAACAAUUAGGAAGUUCAUUGUGUGUGUAACACUAAUCCCCACACUCUUGUUCUAAUAAAAAUUCUAUUUAUAUUGCAUUUUGCUAUUUAUUCACACAAUUAUUAAUCUCAAUGUAAUUAUUGUGUUCUAAAAAAUCAACGUAUCUCAUAUUUGUAUCAAUUAAGCCUUACAUGGGUGCAAUUAAUUAAUCCUUAAUUAGCAUUAGUCUAAGGUAUUAUUUAUUUUUUUAAUUUUUUCAUGAAAGUAAUCUACUUUCAGAAUUUAUAUUUUUUACUUUUUGUUAACUUAUUACUUUUUUUAAAAAAAAAAAUUAUUAAAUAAAAAAUUCAAAAUAUUUAGUUUUUUUUUAAUGCUAAAAACAACUUAUUAGUUUUUCUUUACUUCUUAAUACUUAAUAAAAAUAAAAUAUUUAAAAAAUAAAUAGUUUAAUACUUAAUACUAUUAUAUAUUAUUUAAUUUAAGUUCUAUGAAUAUGUGCCUCAAAAUCUCCUAAACAUAUCACAUAAUAAAUUUAGAAAAAAAAAAUGUAGUUCCAUGCAUGUACUCAAGUAUAAGAAAAUUUCAAAACCAUACCUUAUCCUAACCAUGAGUAGUUUGUUACUCAAUUAUCAAAUACACAUGGCAUUUCACAUCAUCAUAAUCACCACCCAUUAUGAUUUCUAUUUUUUUUUAUAAUAAAUUGGGCCUUACAUGUUACGUAAGGCAAGGUGGCAUAGAAUAUUCACCAUUUUAGGGUUUAAGGCAAGGUGGCACAACCAUUGGGCGUUGCUUUUCAUGGUAUAAAAUGUUAGCUCAUGAAAAGUACCCUUUGACAUUGAUUGACAAUUAAACGUGUGGCCUUGGAGCAAUAUAAUCAAUUCAAAAUUUCAAUUAACCAUAUGGAAAUCAAUGGUUUCUUGCUUAUGUCCUCGAGUCAAUACAAUUUUACACACAAAAGAAAAAUGAUGAGAUUGGAGAAUUCAUUUCACGUUGAAUUCAUGAUAUGUUACAUAAUUUUUUAUAAAAACAAAAUAAUGCUUCAAAUUAACUUCAAUAUUACAAAUUUUAGGCACAACAAAUUGCAUGAUUUCCAAAUUAUUCUCUCAAAACAAGAUAGUAGAAUAACUUAAAGCCAUAUUAAAUUGUGAGCAAUCGAUUAAAAUAAUUGAAUUGUGAUAGAAGAUCGGAUUUAGCACAUAAUUUUUAAACAAGAUGCAUGAUUUUAAGAAGUUAAUAAAUAACUUCCCAAAUAUUUGCUUAUUUUUUCUAUACAUCCAAACACAAGCGAAGUCACCCUAAUUAAGCUUAAAGCCACCAAUGCAAGACAACAAACAAUCUCAUACCAAUUUCCCCCAAAGCAAAUUCACUUCCAACUUUCUUCUUCUUCUCCUUCUUCUUAUUCUACCUUUCAAUGUCCAUGGGAGCAAAGGCCUGUCCCAUGUGAAUAAAUCCGAGCUUGGUCUUCUCCGGCGAUAGGGCUUCUCCCUCUUCUUCUUCUUCUUCCUUCCCCAAUGACCAGUACUUGACCUUUUCGCCAUAAACUUUAACUAAAAACAAGUAGAAGAACACUGAAAACAUCGCCAUACCGAUAACAUACCAGCUGAACUCUAUGUUUAUCAGCGCUUUAGCUCGGUGGAGCGACUUGUCAUCAUGGCAGUGCGCCACCUGGUGGCCCUCUUCCCAGCGGAGGAAGCACCCUUUAGGGAUAUAGGCUGGAGUCCAAAGCAUAACCCCCAUGACCAUCAGCCAAAGCCCUUGGAAAAGGAUACUAAUAGACCUAACAAAACUCAGUAUAAAGCUCUUGGGAAGGCCUAUUCCCAUGAGAGUAGAUGUUAGGGACAAGGAUAUGAGAAUCUGCAGAAGCAUAUGGUACUGUCCUUCCAUGCCAACAUGAUCUGUAGAAUGAAGGUGAAACAACAGGAGCUGCUGCCCAAAGGCUAUGCCAGCAAGGAGCAGAGACAGGUCAUUCCUCGCCUUAACACCGGCACGAUCAAGGGCAAUGGCUGAUGCCGCGUAAACGAGGAAGGUCAUGGAGAUGGAGGAGUGCUCAAAGUUGUGGAGAUGGUUAGAUGGGAUGGUGCCAUCCACAUCAAAAGGUUGGUGCCUAACAGGGCCAAUGAAGAGCUCCAUGGAUAUGGAGAUGGAGCACCCUAUCAUGAUCAGAAAGAGCUCCAAAUACCUUAUUUUUGAGGUGGGGAACCAUGGGUGACUAGUGUAGGAGUGGGGGUUUUGAGCAUGAAGCUUGAUAUGGUUAAAGAGGUGCCACAACCCAAUUAGAAAGAACCCUAGCCCUGGUAAAACAUGUCCUACCAAAGACCCCAUAUACCCUAAAUUUCAAGGGACAAUUUCAGGGGACAGGUGCCCUAAAACCUAGUUUUUGUGCUUUAAGGAGGAGGAGAUGAGCUUGUUUGAGAUGGGGUCUUGGAGGAGUUUGAAG